UACAGAGGGUGCAAGCGUUAAUCGGAAUUACUGGGCGUAAAGCGAGCGUAGUCGGUUAUUUAAGUCGGGUGUGAAAGCCCCGGGCUCAACCUGGGAAUUGCAUUCGAUACUGGAUAGCUAGAGUUCGGCAGAGGGAAGCGGAAUUUCCGGUGUAGCGGUGAAAUGCGUAGAUAUCGGAAGGAACAUCAGUGGCGAAGGCGGUUCUCUGGGCCUUACCUGACGCUGAGGAGCGAAAAGCGUGGGGAGCGAACGGG
Molecule: ribosomal RNA, 254 nt
Filed under: uncultured bacterium
Lineage: Bacteria
Description: partial 16S ribosomal RNA
Rfam family: Bacterial small subunit ribosomal RNA
Source: RNAcentral